UUUAGUUUCAAUUUAAUCUUAUUGGGUUAUACAUACUCAUUACUGUCAUUUUCUAUGUUUUGAGGCGAGAACCGAAAAUGGAGAACUUAGCAACGGAGCACCGGGCUUAAAAGUAGCAGGAUGUUCUCAACCAUGAUGAGACAUAGUAGUACACUUACAACAUUAGAAUAAUAUUGGAACUUCUAUGUGUAUGGUGAUAGUUGAAUAGUUUCUUUGAUUAUAGAGUUAUUCAUU
RNAcentral lists this long non-coding RNA (234 nucleotides) under Carica papaya (papaya). RNAcentral describes it as "long non-coding RNA (CPAP_LNC006308)". Lineage: Eukaryota; Viridiplantae; Streptophyta; Magnoliopsida; Brassicales; Caricaceae. The record is from RNAcentral.